GUUCGUCCUUGGAUCCUGACUUUGAUCCUGGCUCAGGACGAACGCUGGCGGCGUGCUUAACACAUGCAAGUCGUACGAGACGAUUGAAAGCUUGCUUUUGAAAGUCGAGUGGCAAACGGGUGAGUAACGCGAUAGGCAACCUGCCGUCAAAGAUGGGGACAACCAUGUCCGAAAGGACUGCUAAUACCGAAUGUUGUGGAACUUCCGCAUGGGAGCUCUACUAAAGAUGGCCUCUACUUGUAAGCUAUCGCUUUACGAUGGGUCUGCGUCAUGAUUAGCUAAGUUGGUGGGGUAACGGCCUACCAAGGCGACGAUCAGUAGCCGGUCUGAGAGGAUGAACGGCCACAUUGGAAACUGAGAUACGGUCCAGACUCCUACGGGAGGCAGCAGUGGGGAAUCUUCCGCAAUGGGCGCAAGCCUGACGGAGCAACGCCGCGUGAGUGAAGAAGGGUUUCGACUCGUAAAGCUCUGUUGUCGGGGACGAACGUGGAGAUGGUGAAUAACCAUUUCCAAUGACGGUACCUGACGAGGAAGCCACGGCUAACUACGUGCCAGCAGCCGCGGUAAUACGUAGAAGUGGCGAGCGUUGUCCGGAAUUAUUGGGCGUAAAGGGAGCGCAGGCGGGAGAUCAAGUCUAUCUUAAAAGUGCGGGGCUCAACCCCGUGAGGGGAUGGAAACUGGUCUUCUUGAGUGCAGGAGAGGAAAGCGGAAUUCCUAGUGUAGCGGUGAAAUGCGUAGAUAUUAGGAGGAACACCAGUGGCGAAGGCGGCUUUCUGGACUGUAACUGACGCUGAGGCUCGAAAGCGUGGGGAGCGAACAGGAUUAAAUACCCUGGUAGUCCACGCCGUAAACGAUGAAUGCUAGGUGUAAGAGGUAUCGACCCCUCCUGUGCCGGAGUU
This 899-nucleotide ribosomal RNA is filed under the name uncultured bacterium. Its description in RNAcentral is "bacterial SSU rRNA". It matches the Rfam family "Bacterial small subunit ribosomal RNA", at positions 1 to 853 of the family's 1533-position model. The record is from RNAcentral.